CAGCCUCCGCGGUAAUACCGGCGGCCCGAGUGGCGGCCACUAUUAUUGGGCCUAAAGCGUCCGUAGCCGGGCUGGGAAGUCCUCCGGGAAAUCUGGCCGCUUAACGGUCAGAAUGCCGGAGGAUACUCCCAGCCUAGGGAGCGGGAGAGGCCGAGGGUAUUCCCGGAGUAGGGGUGAAAUCCUAUAAUCCCGGGAGGACCACCUGUGGCGAAGGCGCUCGGCUGGAACGCGUCCGACGGUGAGGGACGAAGGCCAGGGGAGCAAACCGGAUUAGAUACCCGGGUAGUCCUGGCUGUAAACGAUGCGGACUUUGUGUCGGACAAGCUAUGAGCUUGUCCGGUGCCGGAGGGAAACCGUUAAGUCCGCCGCCUGGGGAGUACGGCCGCAAGGCUGAAACUUAAAGGAAUUGGCGGG
Molecule: ribosomal RNA, 414 nt
Filed under: uncultured microorganism
Description: bacterial SSU rRNA
Rfam family: Archaeal small subunit ribosomal RNA
Source: RNAcentral